Molecule: non-coding RNA, 27 nt
Filed under: Rattus norvegicus (Norway rat)
Lineage: Eukaryota; Metazoa; Chordata; Mammalia; Rodentia; Muridae
Source: RNAcentral
UAGAGUGAAACAGGCUGGGACCAUGCC